Molecule: long non-coding RNA, 2423 nt
Filed under: Sus scrofa (pig)
Lineage: Eukaryota; Metazoa; Chordata; Mammalia; Artiodactyla; Suidae
Description: lncRNA (ENSSSCG00015041703.1)
Source: RNAcentral
CCUAUGGCCACACUUGCGGCAUAUAGAAGUUCCUGGGCUAGAGGUCAAAUCAGAGUGGCAGCUGCCGGCCUAGGCCACAGCAACAUGGGAUCUGAGCCACGUCUACGACCUCUCCUGCAGCUUGCAGCAAUGCCAGAUCCUUAACCCACUGACCGAGGCAGCGAAUGAACCCACAUCCCCGGGCACACUAUGUCGGGUUCUUAACCCACUGAGCCACAACAGGAACUCCCAUUAAACUUAACCUAAAGUCUUUCUCUCAACUCUACAUCCUUCCAUUAUUCUGGGUGACUUCAACAUUCACGCAGAACUCUGGCCUUCUCAGUUUCAGUGAGUAACUCCUCCCCGCUUCAGUCGCCUACUUCCACAGUUACUGCCACCACCUUGUCAUCCUAACUGCUCUGGAAUCCUUUACUCAAGCACCUCGUACCCACCUUCUCCUUUAGUUCUUAUUCACUCGAUGAAAGCACUCCCACCAUGAAGGGUCUUUGGCCUGGUAAGAAACAUCCAAUGCCCUAGCUUCUCAUUUCUUCCCACUUAUUAAUGCUUUCUUCCUUCACCGUCCUCCUUAUCCAGCUUCAAUUCCAUGACAUUAGGAAACACUCGCUACCCUAAAACUCCCUUCCCAUUCGGUUUCCUUGCAUCACCUCCACUGGCAAAACUGCCAUCGUGUGUGAAACUACCUACUUUCUCCAUCACUAUAAUGAAACAAGUGUGUGUGGGAGGGGAGGCCACACUACCAAAUGCGAUCACCAUGUGCAAGUGCAUCAUGAACACAGCCCAGUGGUCCUACCCUUUCACUCUAAUCUAUACAAAGCAAAUACUAGAAACCUUCUCAAUUCUAUCCAGGCCUUUGGCUCUCUAUUCUUAGUUUUGCCAAAGAUUCUACCUUCUACUUUCCUGAGAAACACCCUAAGACAUCAUUUUCCAAUGGGAAGCUGAGGAGAUUCAUGCCUAUAGCUUCUGCUUUGCACCAUUUUCUCUUUCUCUCUUUUUAUGACAUUGGGUGGUUGUUAAAGCUAUGAACAUGGAGUAAGUUGUUUACAAUGAGAAUACAGAGACAGGAAGAGAGCCUGAAAUCGAUCUUUGAAGAAUUCUAAAAUCUGAUAGCUGAGUAUGGGAGAAUGAAGCUUCAGAUCAAACCACAAAUUUUGCACUAAAAUCAAGUCAGCUACAAAUUCCAGCUACACUUUGUAUGCGUAUAUAUAUUCACAAACACACACACAUAUAUUUAUAUAAGAAACCGGACUUGAAAGCCAGUAUAACUCUAGGGUUUUCCAACAAUAUUAAACAUUAGUCCUUUGAUAGAUGAAAUUUAGCAAUGUUAUUAUUACUGAGGUCCAGAGAAAUAUUUUCCCUUGUGGAAAUGAAAUAAUCUACUUGAAGGAAUUUUACUAGCCAAGGGAGGGGGAAGAAACAUGAAAUUAUUACCCUUUGUAGACAUAAAACUUUCUAGUUGGAACAAAGAUAGCUCUUGCUCAUCAAGAGCAUAUGUAGAUUUAAGAUCUUUAACUAUAAACAGUAGGCUUCAGGCCUGGGUGGUCUGUGUUAUGUCCAAUAAUAUAUAAAUUGGCUUGUCCUCAAAAUAAAUAUUUCCCUUUUCAUUACUCUGAGUCAUGUAAAAGAUUCCAUCUUUGUUCAAAACCAGGAAAACUUUUCAAUAAAACCUUUUAGCUAUAAGUCUAUAUGUUCAAUAGACAGUUCAGGAUACGACCUCUCAUUAAAUGCAUAUAAAGACAUCUUAAAUGAUUUUCUCAGUAUCUCAAGAAACACUCUGAGUGAACUGGGAAAAUACUUAAUGAGAAAUAAAUCCUCUUUAUGCAUAAAAUGAUUACUGACAUUUUUUGCAAGUGUUUAAUAAAAAGCUAUGACCUAGGGGAUUAAAUGAACUAUGAAACAUCCUAUGUUGCUGGUUUUAUCUCAAAGCUAAUUUAUUACUGACUAUCUGGCACAUUAUACACAUUACUUAAAGUUUUAGAGUUGAACAUGACUUUCAUUUUCUUUAAAUAUCGUAUCAAAAUAAUAUUUGAUUAGGUUAAAUGUGACUAAAAGAAUAUACAAAUAUUUUAUAAAUGGUGCAUACCCAUCAUUUUCAAGAAGUCUUCAGAUCCAUAUCAAAAUUUGAUGUAAGUAUAAGGAAAAAUAGCAUCGAAAUGAAAGGAAACAGAUUUUCUCUUUUGGGAAGAAGAGGAGAAAGGAGAACACUGAGGAGUAAUAUAUUCCAUUUAAGUAUAAUAUGGCAAAAUGGCUCCAUAAAACCAUCCAAAAAAUUGUUUCUCUCUUUUAGGAUGAAAUAGUAUCAUAUUCUUCAUGCAUGGUAGGAACUUGGUCUGACUCAGGGUUUGUUUCCAUACCUGCUUACUGAGUUGGCAUGAAAAUACUCUAAAGUCAUAACAAAGACGUAACAACAGAAUAUCGAGAUUCCA